Molecule: ribosomal RNA, 492 nt
Filed under: uncultured bacterium
Lineage: Bacteria
Description: partial 16S ribosomal RNA
Rfam family: Bacterial small subunit ribosomal RNA
Source: RNAcentral
AGUGAACGCUGGCGGUAGGCCUAACACAUGCAAGUCGAACGGCAGCACAGUAAGAGCUUGCUCUUACGGGUGGCGAGUGGCGGGCGGGUGAGGAAUACAUCGGAAUCUACUUUUUCGUGGGGGAUAACGUAGGGAAACUUACGCUAAUACCGCAUACGACCUACGGGUGAAAGCAGGGGAUCUUCGGACCUUGCGCGAUUGAAUGAGCCGAUGUCGGAUUAGCUAGUUGGCGGGGUAAAGGCCCACCAAGGCGACGAUCCGUAGCUGGUCUGAGAGGAUGAUCAGCCACACUGGAACUGAGACACGGUCCAGACUCCUACGGGAGGCAGCAGUGGGGAAUAUUGGACAAUGGGCGCAAGCCUGAUCCAGCCAUACCGCGUGGGUGAAGAGGGCCUUCGGGUUGUAAAGCCCUUUUGUUGGGAAAGAAAAGCAGCAGGUUAAUACCCCGCUGUUCUGACGGUACCCAAAGAAUAAGCACCGGCUAACUUCGUG